Molecule: transfer RNA, 74 nt
Filed under: bacterium
Lineage: Bacteria
Description: tRNA-Phe
Rfam family: tRNA
About the family: Transfer RNA (tRNA) molecules are approximately 80 nucleotides in length.
Source: RNAcentral
GCCCUGAUAGCUCAGUCGGUAGAGCAGAGGACUGAAAAUCCUCGUGUCGGUGGUUCGAUUCCGCCUCAGGGCAC